UAUCUCUGUAGAGUCUGCAUAUCAAUAAGCGGAGGAAAAGAAACUAACAAGGAUUCCCUUAGUAACGGCGAGUGAAGCGGGAAGAGCUCAAAUUUGAAAUCUUCAAGGUUUUACCUUGACGAAUUGUAGUUUAAAGAAGUGUUUUCUGUUGGAGUUUCGGUAAAAGUUCUUUGGAAUAGGACAUCAUAGAGGGUGAGAAUCCCGUAUUUGACCAUUAUUUCAACUGUGUGAUACACUUUCAAAGAGUCGGAUUGUUUGGGAAUGCAGUCCAAAAUGGGUGGUAAAUUUCAUCUAAAGCUAAAUAUUGGCGAGAGACCGAUAGCGAACAAGUACCGUGAGGGAAAGAUGAAAAGAACUUUGAAAAGAGAGUUAAACAGUACGUGAAAUUGUCAAAAGGGAAGCGUUUGACACCAGUGUUGUUUUCUCGAAAAUCAAUUAAAAAUGAUUGGAUUUUGUGUUGUAUUGACCUUAUCAAGCUUUCAUCACUCUUUUUCAUUGUCUUUUUUAAUGCACUUUUCGUUUAACAAGUCAACAUCAGUUUCUUUUGUUGUAAAAGGGUCAUUGGAGGGUGGCUUUCUUUUCGGAGAAAGUGUUUAUAGCCUUUGCCUCUGCAAUCGGAGAGAUUGAGGUCUGCAGCGUAGAUCCUUCUGGAUUAGAUACAUUUGUGCUAAGUUAUAGCCUUUCAUAGACAACUUGUUGACUAUGAUCAGUCAUGUAGCUUACUCGCUUAUGCUAUUUUACCUACGCUUAGGAUGUUGAUCUCUCACAGUCGAGC
Molecule: ribosomal RNA, 775 nt
Filed under: uncultured Neocallimastigales
Lineage: Eukaryota; Fungi; Neocallimastigomycota; Neocallimastigomycetes; Neocallimastigales
Description: partial large subunit ribosomal RNA
Rfam family: Eukaryotic large subunit ribosomal RNA
Source: RNAcentral